Molecule: long non-coding RNA, 285 nt
Organism: Protopterus annectens (West African lungfish)
Lineage: Eukaryota; Metazoa; Chordata; Ceratodontiformes; Protopteridae
Exons: 2
Source: RefSeq, a predicted model, not a curated record
CUGCUUGCCAGUCAUUAAAAGCUGACCAACAACAGGCAGGCUGGAAAAAAAUAUUGUCAAGAUGACUCCUAAGUUCAAGGAAAAAAAAAUACAAACUGGAAUGCAUCAUGGAGAAGUUUACACCAAAUUAUCAUAGAGCUGCCCUAACCUGGAUCUGGAUUAUUAUGAUAUUCAGUUGUUGUACUUGAUGAAAUUGUUACUUUCUUUAUUAAAUAUUUGUACAGGCUGUUCAAUUUGGUUAUUUUAUCGUCAUUUAACUAAUAAAAGUUUUAGUUAUAUAUUUUG